RNAcentral lists this ribosomal RNA (305 nucleotides) under uncultured bacterium. RNAcentral's name for it is "bacterial SSU rRNA". It matches the Rfam family "Bacterial small subunit ribosomal RNA", at positions 335 to 655 of the family's 1533-position model. The record is from RNAcentral.
AGCCGCCUACGGGGCGCAGCAGUGGGGAAUAUUGGACAAUGGGGGGAACCCUGAUCCAGCGACGCCGCGUGAGUGAAGAAGUAUUUCGGUAUGUAAAGCUCUAUCAGCAGGGAAGAAAAUGACGGUACCUGACUAAGAAGCCCCGGCUAACUACGUGCCAGCAGCCGCGGUAAUACGUAGGGGGCAAGCGUUAUCCGGAAUUACUGGGUGUAAAGGGAGCGUAGACAGCUGUGCAAGUCUGGAGUGAAAGGCGGGGGCCCAACCCCCGGACUGCUCUGGAAACUGUAUGGCUGGAGGGCAGGAGG